AUUUAACAUGUAUUCACAUGAUGCACUUAUGCAUUUUAUCCAACCGGCUCACAUAAUGCUACAUGCACCUAGCAUACAUUCCAAUGCACAUAUAUAUCUCGCUUGCAUCUAGUUUCUAGCAUGUACUUUCCAAUGCAUUAUUAUGCAAUUAUCACUAGUAUGUGUUCUACCAACUAGCAUACAUUUACAUAAUGCUAACGUGUAUGUAUAAUUAACAAUUUCUCAUUAUGUCACUAAGCAUUAUCCAACAUGAUCUCAUAACUCACAUGAUUAACAAAGCGUUAACAUUCAUUUGUAUGUUCAUGUUCUCUAUAUCAUGUCAUCAUGUGUUCAUAUGCAAUAUCAUCUAGCACAUACUUCAACAUAUCAAUUUUUCAUUAUCAACUAGCAUGCACUUCAAUGCAUCAUCAUGCAUUAUCAAUUAGCAUACAUGAUAUAGUUCUCACGCCCUUUUGGUGGUUGUUUUUACAGAGCCAUCUACAGGAGAGGCUAGGGAUCGUGGCAAGGGAGUCGCGUCUAGCUAGACAUUGCUAGGAGCAUGCUAGUCGAUCACCUUGCUACUCGGGCUACGGCCGAGGGUGAUGUCCCUAUGUAUAGAGAGACCACCAUUGUACCUAUUUUUUUGUAUACCCGUGAUGUAUAUGUACUUUUGG
This 653-nucleotide long non-coding RNA is filed under the name Ananas comosus (pineapple). RNAcentral's name for it is "long non-coding RNA (ACOM_LNC035517)". Lineage: Eukaryota; Viridiplantae; Streptophyta; Magnoliopsida; Poales; Bromeliaceae. The record is from RNAcentral.